AGUCAAGUAAUUAAGUGCAUGUGGUGGAUGCCUUGGCAGUCAGAGGCGAUGAAAGACGUGAUAGCCUGCGAAAAGCUCCGGGGAGGCGGCAAAUAUCCUUUGAUCCGGAGAUGUCUGAAUGGGGGAACCCACCUACUUUAAGGUAGGUAUUGCAACAUGAAUACAUAGUGUUGCAAGGCGAACGAGGGGAAGUGAAACAUCUCAGUACCCUUAGGAAAAGAAAUCAAUUGAGAUUCCCUCAGUAGCGGCGAGCGAACGGGGAUCAGCCCAUUAAGUUAUGUGUGUUUUAGUGGAACGCUCUGGGAAGUGCGAACGUAGAGGGUGAUAUUCCCGUACACGAAAGGGCACACAUAAUGAUGACGAGUAGGGCGAGGCACGUGAAACCUUGUCUGAAUAUGGGGGGACCAUCCUCCAAGGCUAAAUACUCCUGACUGACCGAUAGUGAACCAGUACCGUGAGGGAAAGGCGAAAAGAACCCCUGUGAGGGGAGUGAAAUAGAUCCUGAAACCGCAUGCAUACAAGCAGUGGGAGCACCUUCGUGGUGUGACUGCGUACCUUUUGUAUAAUGGGUCAGCGACUUAUAUUCAGUAGCGAGGUUAACCGUAUAGGGGAGCCGUAGAGAAAUCGAGUCUUAAUAGGGCGUUUAGUUGCUGGGUAUAGACCCGAAACCAGGCGAUCUAUCCAUGAGCAGGUUGAAGGUUGGGUAACACUAACUGGAGGACCGAACCCACUGUCGUUGAAAAGCCAGGGGAUGACUUGUGGAUAGGGGUGAAAGGCUAAUCAAGCCUGGUGAUAGCUGGUUCUCCCCGAAAGCUAUUUAGGUAGCGCCUCGGACGAAUACCAUAGGGGGUAGAGCACUGUUUCGGCUAGGGGGUCAUCCCGACUUACCAAACCGAUGCAAACUCCGAAUACCUAUGAGUACUAUCCGGGAGACAGACUGCGGGUGCUAACGUCCGUAGUCAAGAGGAAAACAAUCCAGACCGCCAGCUAAGGCCCCAAAAUCAUAGUUAAGUGGGAAACGAUGUGGGAAGGCAUAGACAGCUAGGAGGUUGGCUUAGAAGCAGCCACCCUUUAAAGAAAGCGUAAUAGCUCACUAGUCGAGUCGGCCUGCGCGGAAGAUGUAACGGGGCUAAAACUAUGUGCCGAAGCUGCGGAUGUAUACUUUGUAUACGUGGUAGGGGAGCGUUCUGUAAGCCGAUGAAGGUGUGUUGAGAAGCAUGCUGGAGGUAUCAGAAGUGCGAAUGCUGACGUGAGUAACGACAAAACGGGUGAAAAACCCGUUCGCCGAAAGACCAAGGGUUCCAGUCCAACGUUAAUCGGGGCUGGGUGAGUCGACCCCUAAGGCGAGGCCGAAAGGCGUAGUCGAUGGGAAAAUGGUUAAUAUUCCAUUACUUCUGUGUAAUGCGAUGAGAGGACGGAGAAGGCUAAAUCAGCCUGGCGUUGGUUGUCCAGGUGAAAGGAUGUAGGCAUGUAUCUUAGGCAAAUCCGGGGUACUCUAUGCUGAGAUCUGAUAGCAAGCUGUACUUGUACAGCGAAGUGGUUGAUGCCAUGCUUCCAGGAAAAGUCUCUAAGCUUCAGUUACACAGGAAUCGUACCCGAAACCGACACAGGUGGUCAGGUCGAGUAGACCAAGGCGCUUGAGAGAACUCUGCUGAAGGAACUAGGC
RNAcentral lists this ribosomal RNA (1666 nucleotides) under Acinetobacter baumannii. Its description in RNAcentral is "partial 23S ribosomal RNA". It matches the Rfam family "Bacterial large subunit ribosomal RNA", at positions 1 to 1718 of the family's 2925-position model. Lineage: Bacteria; Pseudomonadati; Pseudomonadota; Gammaproteobacteria; Moraxellales; Moraxellaceae. The record is from RNAcentral.